GAUGAACGCUGGCGGCGUGCCUAAUACAUGCAAGUCGAGCGAACAGAUGAGGAGCUUGCUCCUCUGACGUUAGCGGCGGGCGGGUGAGUAACACGUGGAUAACCUACCUAUAAGGCUGGGAUAACUUCGGGAAACCGGAGCUACUACCGGCUAAUAUCGUGAAACGCAUGGGUCAAUAGUGAAAUACGGUUUUGCUGUCACUUAUAGAUGGAUCCGCGCCGCAUUAGCUAGUUGGUAGGGUAACGGCUUACCAAGGCAACGAUGCGUAGCCGACCUGAGAGGGUGAUCGGCCACACUGGAACUGAGACACGGCCCAGACUCCUACGGGAGGCAGCAGUAGGGAAUCUUCGGCAAUGGGCGAAAGCCUGACGGAGCAACGCCGCGUGAGUGAUGAAGGUCUUCGGAUCGUAAAACUCUGUUAUUAGGGAAGAACACAUGUGUAAGUAACUAUGCACGUCUUGACGGUACCUAAACAGAAAGCCACGGCUAACUACGUG
Molecule: ribosomal RNA, 497 nt
Filed under: uncultured bacterium
Lineage: Bacteria
Description: partial 16S ribosomal RNA
Rfam family: Bacterial small subunit ribosomal RNA
Source: RNAcentral